GUUGUUAUCAUGCAGGCUUCUAACUAGUGAAGCUUUGGAAGGUUUGUCCUUGUUGAGUAAGUUGGAGGUACUUGACACAAGUGGGUGCAGAAGCAUUGGAAACCCCUGUCUCUUUGUCAUAUCAAGAGUUACUACACUCACAAAACUAAACUUAGCAGAAGCUGAUAUCACCGACAAGGGUCUUGCUUUGCUUGGUAUGGGAAACUUGGGCAUUACACAGUUGUGCAUCAGAGGCUGUAAGAGAGUAACUGAUAAGGGAAUUGAGCGUUUAUUUUGUGCUGAAGGAAAA
RNAcentral lists this unclassified non-coding RNA (289 nucleotides) under Hevea brasiliensis (rubber tree). The record is from RNAcentral. Lineage: Eukaryota; Viridiplantae; Streptophyta; Magnoliopsida; Malpighiales; Euphorbiaceae.